This 212-nucleotide ribosomal RNA is filed under the name uncultured bacterium. RNAcentral describes it as "partial 16S ribosomal RNA". It matches the Rfam family "Bacterial small subunit ribosomal RNA", at positions 144 to 354 of the family's 1533-position model. The record is from RNAcentral.
UAAUCGGGAGAAAUUCCGUCUAAUACGGCAUAAUGCAUCGACGGGACAUCCUGUUGGUGCCAAAGGUUAAUUCCGGUGGCGGAUGGGCAUGCGUCGCAUUAGUUAGUUGGCGGUGUAACGGACCACCAAGACGACGAUGCGUAGGGGUUCUGAGAGGAAGGUCCCCCACACUGGUACUGAGACACGGACCAGACUCCUACGGAAGGCAGCAG